RNAcentral lists this ribosomal RNA (513 nucleotides) under Triticum aestivum (bread wheat). Its description in RNAcentral is "partial small subunit ribosomal RNA". The record is from RNAcentral. Lineage: Eukaryota; Viridiplantae; Streptophyta; Magnoliopsida; Poales; Poaceae.
AUGACGACUACCUAUGGAGUAAAGUUAAAGGUCCCGUGCUCCUGUUGUUCUUCAGGACUUUUUUUCUUUUGCUCAAACCAGCAUAAACUAUUCAGAGUUUUAACAGAGAAAAUUGGUCCUGUGCUUCCUCAUGAAAUACAAGAAAAGCUCAAUUGUUUAGAGGAAGAGUACUUCAGGAGCCACUCUUCAGCCAUUAAGUCAUAUAUCUCAGAGCUGGAUAUAGAUUUAACAGUGGGCAUGGUACCCCCCAGGGAUCCUUAUAUCCAGGUUUGGGUGCUGGAGGACUUUGGUGAAGUAUCUCUUGGUGACCAUUCCAUAUCAUUGACCAAAAUUUGCUCCACUUCCUUAGGCGCACAGAUGCAAAACAAUUUAUAUCACAUGUUUGCUAUCUGUUACGCUAUAUUUUCCCACUCUGAAAUCUUAAUAUUUCCAGUAAGAAUAAUAUUCUGUUUAAUUUUAAUAGGGUCUCAUGGAAGAAUUUCUGGAUUAGGGAUCACAUAUGAUGUAAAAUAG